GACUGUGGGGCUGAUUCUACCUACCACUGAGCUAGGCAGCUGUCACCUCCUUCUUCAUCAUCCCAUGCAUGUCUCUCUGGAAACUGUGCUCUUGUCCCGAGAGGACAUUUUCUGAUAUGGAAGAUUCCUUUGUGUAAGGACAUACGAGUAGCUGUGUUCUCUCUCACCAACCUUCAAACGAGCUCUGAAGGUCCAUUUGUGGAUCCCAGGUUAAUAUACAGAUCUAAAUCAAGGGUUGCAUGUGUCCAUCUGUCUUUCUUUU
Molecule: small nuclear RNA, 262 nt
Filed under: Microtus ochrogaster (prairie vole)
Lineage: Eukaryota; Metazoa; Chordata; Mammalia; Rodentia; Cricetidae
Description: 7SK RNA (ENSMOCG00000010574.1)
Rfam family: 7SK RNA
About the family: 7SK was discovered as an abundant small nuclear RNA in the mid-70s but a possible function has only recently been suggested. Two independent studies have found that 7SK RNA binds the CDK9/cyclin T complex (known as elongation factor P-TEFb).
Source: RNAcentral